Molecule: long non-coding RNA, 1605 nt
Filed under: Hordeum vulgare
Lineage: Eukaryota; Viridiplantae; Streptophyta; Magnoliopsida; Poales; Poaceae
Description: long non-coding RNA (HVUL_LNC007175)
Source: RNAcentral
UAUAAAGUAUGACAUAUGAUCUUUGAUAAUACAUUGCCUCAUUAAAAACCAUUAUGAGAAACUACGGAAGAAAACUCAUAAGGGAAAAGAGUGCAUCUGACAUGCCAUUGAAAACUCCUUUAAAACCCAGUGGGAAAAAUAUAAGGAGAAAAUGAUAUGGCAUACACAAACAUUUGUGUUUAUAUUGUCUCGUUAAAAACCUUUUAUGAGAAACCAUUAGGGAAAACUCAUCAAGGGGAAAAGAGUACAAUAUAUGCAAUCUGAUGAUUGUUAAUAGGUUAUAGUUUGGGAGAUUACUCCCCCUGAACUUUGCAAAUAUGGAGGAUGUCUCAUACCAAUUUCAUUGAUAUGAACAUAAGAUUGUGUAUAAUCUGUUGGAUUUUCACAUGAUUUUGUUUGCAAAUUAUUUUCUCACUUUUCUAUAAUCCAUGAGGAUAAGUAGUUUCCGAGCAAUGUUAUUUAUGAUAUUGCUCUUCAUAUAACCUGUAGGUAUUGAGUAACACAAGUGAAAGUAUCUCGAUAAAUCAAGUUAUGUGAUUCUGAUGAAUCUCAACCACAUGAUUUUGAGUGUGCUUGAUCAUUCUGCCAAGCCAUGCAUAUUUUGCAAUGCUUUUAGAUAAAACAAUUAUUUUAGAAUGAUAAUUGGGAAUAACCAUUAAAGUCCAUUUAGAUGACUUCCAUACGGAGGCUAUUCCAACAAAUUCAGUCAUUGAUAUGGCGUCAUUGGGAUCAAAUAAAGAGCCAAUAUCAUCAUAUCACAUCAUGGUCAUAUCUUGUAUUUCCUGAUGGAAUUGUCCAAUAUUUAUUGUGAGCUUACGAUAUAAGAUGAUAUUCCAUAUAUCAAGCAAGAGGCGAGGCAAGAGGUGAAUAUAAGAUUUGAGGACCAUGGCUGAUGGUAGAUAUCGCCGCAUCUGGAGCCUCACGUCGUGGCUGCCUGGUUGUAGUCUGCACUAUGAUUGGAGGACUGAUGCUUCUACGUGCAUCCUUGAUGAGUUUUUUUACUGCAGUUAUGGUGAGCAGCAGUGGUCGCUAGUAUUCAAUGAAUUAGAAAUAAACAUGGUACCUUCUUCUUCCCUUGGCAUGACUGAAUGAUACGUUGUAUUCAUCUCACCAUGUCCAUAUGUUUGGAUGAAGGGAUCCACUGCUUGCAGUACAUGAUUUAUCCAUUCUUCCUUUAUCUUGAUCAAUUUCAGUGAACAGAUUCAUGUAGGGCAUUCCUAAGAAAAAAAUAUUUAAAGUAUUGAUCUUAAUCACAAGAAGGCAAUAAAUUAACGUUUCCCUGAUCAAUUUCCUGUAGGAACGUGUGUAUGUAGAUUUUCUGUAGGAGACUAAGGAUGCAUGCAUGCCCGCCUUUGCUUCCUCCAUUGUACCGUUGGAAGCAGCGCUGGAUCGUCUCACGCCCGCUCGAUACUUGCACUGGCUUGUGCAGCGGUUUCGUGGCCGAAAUCCACCGUGUAAGGUUCAUCUUCACGCGUUGCCGCCGGCUAGAUUCCAGCGUGUUUUCUGUAUGCCAUUACUCUUUUUUGGUAGAGUCUAAGUGUUGAUAACGUGUUUGAAGUAAAAAGUAAAGAACGAGAGAGAUGAAUGAAAGAUGAUUCAUUAGUC